ACGGAAGGCAGCAGUGGGGAAUAUUGCACAGUGGGGGAAACCCUGAUGCAGCAACGCCGCGUGAGUGAAGAAGUAUUUCGGUAUGUAAAGCUCUAUCAGCAGGGAAGAUAAUGACGGUACCUGACUAAGAAGCUCCGGCUAAAUACGUGCCAGCAGCCGCGGUAAUACGUAGGGAGCAAGCGUUAUCCGGAUUUAUUGGGUGUAAAGGGUGCGUAGACGGGAAAUUAAGUUAGUUGUGAAAUCCCUCGGCUCAACUGAGGAACUGCAACUAAAACUGGUUUUCUUGAGUGCAGGAGAGGUAAGUGGAAUUCCUAGUGUAGCGGUGAAAUGCGUAGAUAUUAGGAGGAACACCAGUGGCGAAGGCGACUUACUGGACUGUAACUGACGUUGAGGCACGAAAGUGUGGGGAGCAAACAGGAUUAGAUACCCUGGUA
This 434-nucleotide ribosomal RNA is filed under the name uncultured Lachnospiraceae bacterium. Its description in RNAcentral is "bacterial SSU rRNA". It matches the Rfam family "Bacterial small subunit ribosomal RNA", at positions 341 to 792 of the family's 1533-position model. Lineage: Bacteria; Bacillati; Bacillota; Clostridia; Lachnospirales; Lachnospiraceae. The record is from RNAcentral.